CGCACUGUGCACAUGGCUGCGUCACUUCCACGUGACGGCCAGCACGCCCUGGCCUCAGUUGGGGUGUGUCAUAAAAUUUUACAUAAGGCUUCAGAUUGCCACACAGUAAUCAAUUGCAAUUUGAUUCUAAUAAUUUGACAUUUUCAUUAGAGUAGAAGUUCUAGGGGUUUAGGCAUGAUCUCUUAAAGUAAAAAAAAAAAAAAAAAAACACUAUUAGUUAAAUCCAAAUCUAUUAAGCUUGUAUUUGAAAACAUCGCUAAAGAUAAAGAAUUUUAAUAAAUUUAAAAGAAAAUUGAUAGUGUUUUUAACUUUUUUAGGCUCUAAAAAUCAGACAUUUAAUUCAAUCUAUACUUAGCUGAAAAUACACUGUGUUACUGUUCAUAAGAACAAUGUACUUUCGAAAAUGCCCCUGUCUUAAUUGUGUAAUUUCAAUUACUCCAAUGCAAAUCUAAUUGGAUCUGGACCGUCCAUUUAUUUGGGGCAUUGUGAUAAGAAACCCCCACCCCAUGCACGAACCCAAAUACACCAAAAACCAUCAUCCAGUCUCAUCCGUUCUCAAUUGGAUUUCCCGGUGUAAACCCAGAAACUAAGGGUUAAAGUACAAAUGUUACUGGCGGGUCAAGUUCCAUAAGGAGGUGGAAGCAGAAGAAGAAUUAGCGUCACACUUCAGUUUUUCAACAAAAAGGAGUUAAUCAUUAUAAAUUAUGCAUACAAGCUUCUCUGUUUUUUAUAUCUGAAAUUUGAGUUCUUUGACCAAAACUAUGAAUAGUGAUUGGUAAAUAUUUCGCAUUUUUUUUUCUAUGGUCCAUUUGUGUUCUUUUGGGGUUGUAUUUUGCUAGAACAUUAUUAAAUAAUUAAAUUACAUAAAUGGACACAAUAGAUUAUUAAUAGUAUCCCCAAUUUUUCUCUAAA
This is a long non-coding RNA of Pyrus x bretschneideri (Chinese white pear), 912 nucleotides long. RefSeq lists it as uncharacterized. The record is from RefSeq and is a predicted model, not a curated record. NCBI's taxonomy places the organism in Eukaryota, Viridiplantae, Streptophyta, Magnoliopsida, Rosales, Rosaceae. The transcript has 2 exons.